GCAAACUUGGUCAUUUAGAGGAAGUACAAGUCGUAACAAGGUAUCCGUAGGUGAACCUGCGGAUGGAUCAUUAUUGAGUUAGGAUCCAUUUCUGCUAGUACUGUGAACGGUGGUUCCGCCGAGAGGGGGAGCGCCUGGGCGUCGGCUAGCUAGCCUGCUAGGGCCCUGGUAAGAACCAGGCUCUGGCUGGCUGGCUGGCUGGCUGGCCCGAUCAAGGUCAGGCUGCGCGCAGCGUGCCUGACAUGAGCCUAAACGUAGAGUCCUCUUAGACUAAAGUACCUCUUAGAUCUUAGGAACUAAGGACAACUUUUAGCAAUGGAUCUCUUGGCUCUUGCAUCGAUGAAGAACGCAGC
Molecule: unclassified non-coding RNA, 353 nt
Filed under: uncultured fungus
Lineage: Eukaryota; Fungi
Description: partial contains small subunit ribosomal RNA, internal transcribed spacer 1, and 5.8S ribosomal RNA
Rfam family: Eukaryotic small subunit ribosomal RNA (bases 1-73)
Source: RNAcentral